This 589-nucleotide ribosomal RNA is filed under the name uncultured bacterium. Its description in RNAcentral is "partial 16S ribosomal RNA". The record is from RNAcentral.
AAAAAGAAAGAAAAAGAAAGAAAAGAAAGAAAAGAAAAAGAAAAGAAAAAAGAAAAAAAGAAAAGAAAGAAAAAAGAAAGAAAGAAAAAAAGAAAGAAAGAAAAAAAGAAAGAGAAAAAAAAAGAAGAAGAGAAAAAAAGAAGAAGAGAAAAACCCUACCAAGAAGACUCUUAGAACAAGUGGGACUGUAACAAGAUUUGGAGAAAUUACAACUGGAGAAUAACAUGAUGUUAAUUCAACAAGAACUCCAGCUGGAAGAGAGGGCGCUGCUUUUGAUUGGUCGUUUCCCCAUAUUGAAUAAAUAACAUCAGGACUGUCAUAAAACACCAUUUCAUUUGGGACUUUUGGAAAAAAAACUCUUGAUUCUAACAUGGAUUGGGCAAUAAGAAUGGCGCUAUCUGGAACAACAUUACAUGCAUUUGAAAUCCAAUCUGCUGCAACAUUUCCACGAAAACAAUCUUCAAAAGGUUCACCAUUGGGUCCUUUGAAAUCACUUAAAGGAAUAGAUUGCAAAAAAGCUUUUGCAAGUUCUGAUAAUAAUCCAACAUUUAUUAAGGAAUUUGAAUCAACAUGACCGGUGCGUUCAAGU